RNAcentral lists this ribosomal RNA (279 nucleotides) under uncultured bacterium. RNAcentral describes it as "partial 16S ribosomal RNA". It matches the Rfam family "Bacterial small subunit ribosomal RNA", at positions 506 to 784 of the family's 1533-position model. The record is from RNAcentral.
UGCCAGCAGCCGCGGUAAUACGGAGGGGGCUAGCGUUGUUCGGAAUCACUGGGCGUAAAGCGCAUGUAGGCGGAUCAAAAAGUUAGAUGUGAAAUCCCUAGGCUUAACUUAGGAACUGCAUUUAAAACUAGUGAUCUUGAAUUUGGCAGAGGAUAGUAGAAUUUCCAGUGUAGAGGUGAAAUUCGUAGAUAUUGGAAAGAAUACCAGAGGCGAAGGCGACUAUCUGGACCAACAUUGACGCUGAGAUGCGAAAGCGUGGGUAGCAAACAGGAUUAGAUA